GUUCACGAUCGUGCCACCCUGAAUGCGCCCUAUCUCAUCUGAUCUCAGAAGCUGAGCAGCAUCAGGUAUGGUUAGUAUUUGAUGGAAGAAAAGCAAUGAGUUCUGUGAAGC
RNAcentral lists this ribosomal RNA (111 nucleotides) under Mus caroli (Ryukyu mouse). RNAcentral describes it as "rRNA (MGP_CAROLIEiJ_G0034251.1)". Lineage: Eukaryota; Metazoa; Chordata; Mammalia; Rodentia; Muridae. The record is from RNAcentral.